UACGGGGGGGGCAAGCGUUGUUCGGAAUUACUGGGCGUAAAGGGCUCGUAGGCGGCCAACUAAGUCAUACGUGAAAUCCCUCGGCUUAACCGGGGAACUGCGUCUGAUACUGGAUGGCUUGAGUUCGGGAGAGGGAUGCGGAAUUCCAGGUGUAGCGGUGAAAUGCGUAGAUAUCAGGAGGAACACCUGUGGUGUAGACAGCUUACUGGACCACUUCUGACGCUGAGACACGAAAGCGUGGGUAGCAAACAGG
Molecule: ribosomal RNA, 253 nt
Filed under: uncultured bacterium
Lineage: Bacteria
Description: partial 16S ribosomal RNA
Rfam family: Bacterial small subunit ribosomal RNA
Source: RNAcentral